RNAcentral lists this ribosomal RNA (861 nucleotides) under Rathayibacter sp. RNAcentral's name for it is "bacterial SSU rRNA". It matches the Rfam family "Bacterial small subunit ribosomal RNA", at positions 495 to 1356 of the family's 1533-position model. The record is from RNAcentral. Lineage: Bacteria; Bacillati; Actinomycetota; Actinomycetes; Micrococcales; Microbacteriaceae.
GGCUAACUACGUGCCAGCAGCCGCGGUAAUACGUAGGGUGCAAGCGUGUCCGGGAAUUAUUGGGCGUAAAGAGCUCGUAGGCGGUUUGUCGCGUCUGCUGUGAAAACCCGAGGCUCAACCUCGGGCUGCAGUGGGUACGGGCAGACUAGAGUGCGGUAGGGGAGAAUGGAAUUCCUGGUGUAGCGGUGGAAUGCGCAGAUAUCAGGAGGAACACCGAUGGCGAAGGCAGUUCUCUGGGCCGUUACUGACGCUGAGGAGCGAAAGCGUGGGGAGCGAACAGGAUUAGAUACCCUGGUAGUCCACGCCGUAAACGUUGGGAACUAGAUGUGGGGACCUUUCCACGGUCUCCGUGUCGCAGCUAACGCAUUAAGUUCCCCGCCUGGGGAGUACGGCCGCAAGGCUAAAACUCAAAGGAAUUGACGGGGGCCCGCACAAGCGGCGGAGCAUGCGGAUUAAUUCGAUGCAACGCGAAGAACCUUACCAAGGCUUGACAUAUACCGGAAACUUCCAGAAAUGGUUGCCCCGCAAGGUCGGUAUACAGGUGGUGCAUGGUUGUCGUCAGCUCGUGUCGUGAGAUGUUGGGUUAAGUCCCGCAACGAGCGCAACCCUCGUUCUAUGUUGCCAGCACGUCAUGGUGGGAACUCAUAGGAGACUGCCGGGGUCAACUCGGAGGAAGGUGGGGAUGACGUCAAAUCAUCAUGCCCCUUAUGUCUUGGGCUUCACGCAUGCUACAAUGGCCGGUACAAAGGGCUGCGAUACCGUAAGGUGGAGCGAAUCCCAAAAAGCCGGUCUCAGUUCGGAUUGAGGUCUGCAACUCGACCUCAUGAAGUCGGAGUCGUUAGUAAUCGCAGAUCAGCAACG